RNAcentral lists this unclassified non-coding RNA (421 nucleotides) under Bombus terrestris (buff-tailed bumblebee). RNAcentral's name for it is "misc RNA ENSBTSG00005025010.1". The record is from RNAcentral. Lineage: Eukaryota; Metazoa; Arthropoda; Insecta; Hymenoptera; Apidae.
AAUAGUGAUUGAGAACAAGAAAGUAUGCAAGCGCGAAUGCGAGGAAGAAAAGGACGUAUACGAGAAAAAGACAGUGAAAUGAAUAGAGGUUAAAGAACGCGUCGAGGAGAAUCGCGGAACAUCGACGUAGUUCUUGACAGUGGACAUAAACAUACCAGUUCGUAUUCAAUUAAUUAAAAAUAUUAGAAGUUGCACGAUCUAUGGUUACAUAAAAUUAAAUUAUUUAAUUUUUAACGAGUACUAUAGAUGACGUUGAUGGCGUUUCUCAACAACUGCUGAUGGGUCCCAUUUAUAACUACUCUGACACUGUGACACCCUCUCUUGGGGUUAUCAUUUCUUUUUUCGUAUUGCGAUUACAUCACGCAAAAGGAUGUGUAUGUGUUUUAUAUGAUAUAUAUAUUUUUUUUAUAUGAAAUAUUUU